Molecule: ribosomal RNA, 459 nt
Filed under: uncultured bacterium
Lineage: Bacteria
Description: partial 16S ribosomal RNA
Rfam family: Bacterial small subunit ribosomal RNA
Source: RNAcentral
CUACGGGGUGCUCCAGUGAGGAAUAUUGGUCAAUGGGCGAGAGCCUGAACCAGCCAUCCCGCGUGCAGGAUGACGGCCCUAUGGGUUGUAAACUGCUUUUCCAUACCAAGAAACCUGAUUACGUGUAAUUAGUUGCCGGUAGUAUGGGAAUAAGCAUCGGCUAACUCCGUGCCAGCAGCCGCGGUAAUACGGAGGAUGCAAGCGUUAUCCGGAUUCAUUGGGUUUAAAGGGUGCGCAGGUGGGCUUGUAAGUCAGUGGUGAAAUGUUGCCGCUUAACGGUAAAAUUGCCAUUGAUACUGCAAGUCUUGAAUAUAGUUGAGGUAGGCGGAAUGUGUUGUGUAGCGGUGAAAUGCAUAGAUAUGACACAGAACACCGAUUGCGAAGGCAGCUUACUAAGCUAUUAUUGACGCUGAGGCACGAAAGCGUGGGGAUCGAACAGGAUUAGAUACCCUCGUAGUC